RNAcentral lists this ribosomal RNA (497 nucleotides) under uncultured bacterium. RNAcentral describes it as "partial 16S ribosomal RNA". It matches the Rfam family "Bacterial small subunit ribosomal RNA", at positions 28 to 507 of the family's 1533-position model. The record is from RNAcentral.
GAUGAACGCUGGCGGCGUGCCUAAUACAUGCAAGUCGAGCGAACAGACGAGGCGCUUGCUGCUCUGACGUUAGCGGCGGACGGGUGAGUAACACGUGGAUAACCUACCUAUAAGACUGGGAUAACUUCGGGAAACCGGAGCUAAUACCGGAUAAUAUAUUGAACCGCAUGGUUGAAUAGUGAAAGACGGUUUUGCUGUCACUUAUAGAUGGAUCCGCGCCGCAUUAGCUAGUUGGUAAGGUAACGGCUUACCAAGGCGACGAUGCGUAGCCGACCUGAGAGGGUGAUCGGCGACAUGGGAGCGGAGACGCGGUCCAGACUCCUACGGGAGGCAGCAGUAGGGAAUCUUCCGCAAUAGGCGAAAGCCUUGCGGAGCAACGGCACGUGAGUGAUGAAGGUCUUCGGAUCGUAAUACUCUGUUAUGAGUGAAGAACAAAUGUGUAAGUUACUAUGCACGUCUUGACGGUACCUAAUCAGAAAGCCACGGCUAACUACGUG